AUGAAAGAAGUGGUAAGAAAGGAAAUACUAAAGCUCCUCGAGGCAGGUAUAAUCUAUCCCAUUGUUGAUAGUCAGUGGGUAAGUCAUGUCCAUUGUGUCCCUAAGAAGGGAGGUAUUACUGUCGUUCCUAAUGAUAAAGAUGAAUUGAUUCCUCAAAGAAUUAUUACAGGUUAUAGGAUGGUAAUUGAUUUCCGCAAAUUAAAUAAGGCCACUAAAAAGGAUCAUUACCCCUUACCUUUUAUCGAUCAGAUGCUAGAAAGAUUAUCCAAACAUACACAUUUUUUGCUUUCUAGAUGGUUAUUCUGGUUCCUCUCAAAUACCUGUGUCAGCCAAGGAUUAAUCAAAGACCACUUUUACUUGCCCUUUUGGUACUUUUGCUUAUAG
Molecule: ribosomal RNA, 384 nt
Filed under: Triticum aestivum (bread wheat)
Lineage: Eukaryota; Viridiplantae; Streptophyta; Magnoliopsida; Poales; Poaceae
Description: partial small subunit ribosomal RNA
Source: RNAcentral